Molecule: long non-coding RNA, 2543 nt
Organism: Cynoglossus semilaevis (tongue sole)
Lineage: Eukaryota; Metazoa; Chordata; Actinopteri; Pleuronectiformes; Cynoglossidae
Exons: 3
Source: RefSeq, a predicted model, not a curated record
AGUAAAAAAAGUAGGACAAUGUAUUGAAGAAUGAAAACUACAUUUACAUCUUUAGUCUUUGUAUUUAAUCGAUCUUGUAUUACAGUAUUACACUUUGUCUCUUUGACCCAAGACUCACUAUUUAGUUCCAUGGCCAACUCGAACCAUCCCUGUGACCCACAUUGAGGUCACGACCCACUGUUUGACAGUGUUCCAUAGACUCAACCUAUGUUGAAAUACUGUAUUUGCGAAAUCUAAUGCUUGUGAAUGAUCACCGUCUCAGUCAUCAAUACUGGCGUUUGAUUGGUCCUGGUCCUACUCCCUUUUUUACUUUUGUCACACACAUUUUUUUUCAAGUAAACCUUGAGCCUGAAUUGACUCAGAGUAGAUGUCCCCACAAAGACACAGCCCCCCGCCCCCCAUAAGAGUAUCUAUCCAAAUAAUGUCCCCACAAGUGCAGAUAGACCAGACAAACACACACACGCCGACUCACUUUUGCUUCUUUCAGCGGAAGAAGAAACAACAAGUGCCUCCGUUUGAGUGAAUCCAUAUGUGUGUGAGGCGUCAGCACUGUGCAGCAUUAGACUGAAGGAGAGUCUGGUAAUAAGGACCAGACCUGCAGACAGACAGACACAGUCUCGUUGCAUAAGGACGGCAGUAAAAAGGCUUAGGUCCUGGCUCUCUUCCUCUGUCUCCUCGCUCGACCAGAGGACAGAUGGAGGCAGAAGAAAGUGAACGAGCGAUGGCGGCGGCUUUUUUCACAUGCCGCUCCUCAACAGAUGGACGCAUCGUUUAUUUAUUGAAAAUAAAUCAGACCGGGGGUGAGGCCGGCCCCGGCCCCGGCUCCUGCUUUGAUCUCCCACAGCCUGACUGGGACUGGCACCUCGUGGGGGCCACCGCUAAUUGCAAAUUUUGUGAAAUGUUUAGAAAAGCCGGCUCCUCUCCUGCAAACACGAGGAGGCCCAAGAAAUAGGUUAGAAUGGAGUUAAUACACGGAGUUUGAACCUUCCGUGGUCUUUGUCAGAUCAGCUGGGAAAAAAACAAACAAUACGUUAGCUCUGUGUAUCUUUACAGUUGAGGUGGACUAGAGUUUUGGUUGUUCUGUUAGCAUGUUGUCCUAGUUGCAGUUUGAACGCCCCGGUCCAUGACUUCAGAACUCGUUAGUGAUUAUUACUUAAUAUGAAUCUAAAUUAUGGUGAAAUGCAAUGCAUUUAGCUUUGACACCAGAGACUUAACUUACAAAAAGACAUGUCAGAGUGGAGGUGAUGCUGCCCUCUGCUGGGCCUUUAAUUACAGGCUAUAUAAAACAGUGGUUCUCAAGCCCUGGUAUGCAUACCACUGCUGGUACUUGGACUUUUUUUCACUCAGUUGUUAAAUACACAUAAUAAUUAUUGUCUUGGUCGGUUGUUGUUUGCUGUUGUACUUCAAUGUACUUGUUGGUUUCAGCUGAUAAAUAAACAGUUUUAUUAGGAGUAAAUUCCAUACAUCAUAUCACUCCAUUUGUUAAGCAACAACUAUUUCAUCUGUUUCCCUCUGGUUUUUAUCCUCCAGACCUUAUCUAAAAUGAAUUUCAUGUUUUAAAUCACUCUAGAUUCACUGGUGAAUUCAGUCAUAACACAAGCAGGAAGCAGGAAAUCUAAGGUCAGAGCACGGGUUGAUCUGAUAGUGAAAAUGAGAGACUAAUUAGGUUUCUUUGAGUCACGUACUAUGACACACUCAUGUCUGCAUUUGACUUAUCAUCGGUUGGUCUGGUGUCGCAGACUUUGUUGGGGAUUCGUCUUGACCAAAGUCUGUCUUCAGUAUUUGACUGACUUCACAGCAAUCUGAACAAGACUGAGCAUGAUUCGACUUCUCUAGUCCUAACCAUUCAGUACAGCUCGUACAGGUGCGUUUAUUGGGAUGACGUGAGUGAGCCUGUGUGUAAGAGAGUGUGUGUGUGUGUGUGUGUGUUUGCAGUAAGGCCAGCCAGUCACGGUCAACCUAUUGUCUUCAAUCCCAAUGAGCAACCGUCCCGUAGCCUGUUAUGACUGAUGAACGCUGUCGUAUGCGACGUUAACGCUAACAUCACGUUAGGUUUGGGGUUGAGCAUUGUUGCCCACUUUAAACCUCAGCAGCAGUAGCGUUAGCUAACUGCUUCCUGCACUCUGAACCAAAAGGAAAAAGAAAAAAAAGUAAAACAUAACAGCUGCACUUUUUAGCUGCUUUGUUGUCAGUGUUGACAUCUGGUCUUAAGAAAACCUCAAAGACGGUUCUGUGCUGUAAAACAAUCCAAACUUGUUAAAUAAUCAAAACAGCUUGUGGCAACGUUGUGUGAUCAAACGGUUGCCUUGGAACAAAACCCUAGUGGAUUUUUGCUAGCCGUUUAACUUUUCUUUUUUUUCUUUUCUUUUUUUUUUAUGAGAGCAAACGUAAGCUAAUAGUGGCGUAUAAAAUAUACAAUAAAGUAAACAACAAAUCAUCUCUUCCCUCGUGCCUGUUUAUUGGAACGAGGAGACAGUGGUACCCACGUAAAUAGGUCAGUCGGGCUGUAACUUGGUCUGUAUGUAAACAUACACAGACCCCCA